GAAAUACACUUUGAACUUCACGAGACGGGCUGAUAAGUGUGCAGCUUGCUUUACCCGAAUGUGAUUUGAUCAUAAUUUUGAGAGAAGUUCUUCUGAAAGCUGCACACAAGCUACACUUCUGGAUGGAGAGAGGCAUUUGAAGCAGAAAUGGACAGUUUGAAGAAGAGUCUGCAGAAGCCUUCUAUUUUCACAUUUGUGCCAGUGGUGCACAAAUUACCGAUUGAAAGCAUUGUUACUGAGGAGAGAUCUGGAGCCCGGACAGGAAAACAAAAGAAGAACUUAACUGAAUCCCAUGAGAAGACAGCCGGGGAGACCAUGUCGGAGAAGCAGAUUUUCAAAGCAGAGAUAGUCUUUAUCAAAGACUCUGCGGAGGGAGGAGCCGGAAACACAAUCCAACCAGGGACACAACUUCAACCGUCACUGGAUCACUUCAGCCUCUCUCAAACCAAAGCCUUUCCUUCAGUCAGUGUUCAAUCUGAAAAUACCACCAACCCCGUCGCUGCCUCUAUGGAAACAGCUGUUGAUAAACACGGGGGCAUUUCCCAGCCGCAGUGUCACGGUACCUCUGGACUUGCUGAGGUUAGCUCGGGUUUCUUUGCAAAUAUAGCGUCUGUGUCAGAAGACAGAAUGAGCCCCACAAACUCCGCAGACCUCUUCCCCACCCCGGGAUCAUCCAGAGAGUCCAUCCUCUCAGAGGGCUCGGACAGAGAGAAGAGCUGGUCGGCUAUGGAGCUUUCCUCUCUCACCUCUCCUGUUUCUUUCAGCCGCACUGUUUCUCCCUGCUCGUCUGUCCGCUCUGGCAUCUUUUCCCCUUCUGUCGUCCCGAUCAAGAGGCACUUUCUAGCUCCUGGCUCCAGUCUGAUUCACACCCCCUGUUUCUCAUCCUGUGAGAGCCUCUCCUCUUCUGUUUGUCCCCAGUCCCCUCCUCCUCCUCCCCGGCACCGGCCUCCUCUCACCCGACUCUCCCUCCUCACUGCCAUCCUGAGAAAAGGCCGUCUUCCUAUCCUCUCCUCUGCUCUGCAGAGGCCUUACACCCCCUGCUGGCCUAUUAACCCUGUGACCCUGUCUUUCUGUAACGCAUGCUCAGCGGCCUCCAGUGUGGCCUCCAUCCCCCUUGAGUUCUCAUCUCGUUUCUCUUCAUCAGCGUCUAUAGAUAGUCAGAGUCACUUUAACAGGGAGCCUAAUAGAUGCAUCACAGCUCCUCCACCUGUGCAGUCAAAUGAGCUGAGCAGAACAUGCCCUCAAGCUCAGGCGAAAAGAUGCUCGGCGCAAAUUCGUGCAAGCAGUGCGCCUAGAUGGCAGCAGGUUAUUUCACCGCCACCAAUGAAGAGCACACUGCCCCGAGCUCCACCAUUAUUUUGCUCGACUUUCAAAUCUGUUUCGCCACCAAAGUAUGAAGAAAUAAACAAAAAGCUGCAACACACACACAUGUCCAUUUCCAAGUCGCCUGAGCUGAAACCCAUCAACACUCACAUAUACCUGAAGUGCCCUGCAGAUUACAAUCUUAAAAAACUCAUCUCCCCGUCUUCUAAAGUUAUUAAUGAGCUUGAGACCUCUGUGCCCCAGAAGUGGAGUCCCCCUACCAAAUUCAUCUUUCUCAAGGCUUCACUCCCUUUCUCAACAACUGAGAUCUCCGCCCGUCUGCACUCCUGGGCUUCAGCCUUCUCAAUCACGCUCACCCGGUGUUCCAAUUUUCUGUGA
Molecule: long non-coding RNA, 1701 nt
Organism: Cottoperca gobio
Lineage: Eukaryota; Metazoa; Chordata; Actinopteri; Perciformes; Bovichtidae
Source: Ensembl